RNAcentral lists this ribosomal RNA (487 nucleotides) under uncultured bacterium. RNAcentral describes it as "bacterial SSU rRNA". It matches the Rfam family "Bacterial small subunit ribosomal RNA", at positions 28 to 514 of the family's 1533-position model. The record is from RNAcentral.
GAUGAACGCUAGCGGCAGGCUUAACACAUGCAAGUCGAGGGGUAGAGGAAGCUUGCUUCCUUGAGACCGGCGCACGGGUGCGUAACGCGUAUGCAAUCUACCUUGUACAGGGGGAUAGCCCAGAGAAAUUUGGAUUAAUACCCCAUAGUAUAAUUGAAUGGCAUCAUUUAAUUAUUAAAGUUCCAACGGUAUAAGAUGAGCAUGCGUCCCAUUAGCUAGUUGGUGUGGUAACGGCACACCAAGGCGACGAUGGGUAGGGGUCCUGAGAGGGAGAUCCCCCACACUGGUACUGAGACACGGACCAGACUCCUACGGGAGGCAGCAGUGAGGAAUAUUGGUCAAUGGGCGCAAGCCUGAACCAGCCAUGCCGCGUGCAGGAUGACGGUCCUAUGGAUUGUAAACUGCUUUUGUACAGGAAGAAACACUCCCUCGUGAGGGAGCUUGACGGUACUGUAAGAAUAAGGAUCGGCUAACUCCGUGCCAGCAG